Molecule: ribosomal RNA, 750 nt
Filed under: uncultured marine bacterium
Lineage: Bacteria
Description: bacterial SSU rRNA
Rfam family: Bacterial small subunit ribosomal RNA
Source: RNAcentral
UUGAUCCUGGCUCAGAACGAACGCUGGCGGCAGGCUUAACACAUGCAAGUCGAACGGUCUCUUCGGAGGCAGUGGCAGACGGGUGAGUAACGCGUGGGAAUCUACCUAUCUCUACGGAACAACAGUUGGAAACGACUGCUAAUACCGUAUACGCCCCCCUUUGUGAUUAUUGGGUGGGGAAAGAUUUAUCGGAGAUAGAUGAGCCCGCGUUAGAUUAGCUAGUUGGUGAGGUAAUGGCUCACCAAGGCGACGAUCUAUAGCUGGUCUGAGAGGAUGAUCAGCCACACUGGGACUGAGACACGGCCCAGACUCCUACGGGAGGCAGCAGUGGGGAAUAUUGGACAAUGGGCGCAAGCCUGAUCCAGCCAUGCCGCGUGUGUGAUGAAGGCCCUAGGGUUGUAAAGCACUUUCAACGGUGAAGAUAAUGACGGUAACCGUAGAAGAAGCCCCGGCUAACUUCGUGCCAGCAGCCGCGGUAAUACGAAGGGGGCUAGCGUUGUUCGGAAUUACUGGGCGUAAAGCGUACGUAGGCGGACUAUUAAGUUAGGGGUGAAAUCCCAGGGCUCAACCCUGGAACUGCCUCUAAUACUGGUAGUCUUGAGUUCGAGAGAGGUGAGUGGAAUUCCGAGUGUAGAGGUGAAAUUCGUAGAUAUUCGGAGGAACACCAGUGGCGAAGGCGGCUCACUGGCUCGAUACUGACGCUGAGGUACGAAAGUGUGGGGAGCAAACAGGAUUAGAUACCCUGGUAGU